Molecule: ribosomal RNA, 253 nt
Filed under: uncultured bacterium
Lineage: Bacteria
Description: partial 16S ribosomal RNA
Rfam family: Bacterial small subunit ribosomal RNA
Source: RNAcentral
UACGUAGGGCGCAAGCGUUGUCCGGAAUUAUUGGGCGUAAAGAGCUCGUAGGCGGCUUGUCACGUCGGGUGUGAAAGCCCGGGGCUUAACCCCGAGUCUGCAUUCGAUACGGGCAGGCUAGAGUGUGGUAGGGGAGAUCGGAAUUCCUGGUGUAGCGGUGAAAUGCGCAGAUAUCAGGAGGAACACCGGUGGCGAAGGCGGAUCUCUGGGCCAUUACUGACGCUGAGGAGCGAAAGCGUGGGGAGCGAACAGG